UGGGGAAUUUUGGACAAUGGGCGCAAGCCUGAUCCAGCAAUGCCGCGUGCGGGAAGAAGGCCUUCGGGUUGUAAACCGCUUUUGGCAGGAACGAAACGGUGUCCGCUAAUACCGGGCGCUAAUGACGGUACCUGCAGAAUAAGCACCGGCUAACUACGUGCCAGCAGCCGCGGUAAUACGUAGGGUGCGAGCGUUAAUCGGAAUUACUGGGCGUAAAGCGUGCGCAGGCGGUUGUGUAAGACAGGCGUGAAAUCCCCGGGCUCAACUGGGAAUGGCGCUUGUGACUGCACGGCUGGAGUGCGGCAGAGGGGGAUGGAACUCCGCGUGUAGCAGUGAAAUGCGUAGAUAUGCGGAGGAACACCGAUGGCGAAGGCAAUCCCCUGGGCCUGCACUGACGCUCAUGCACGAAAGCGUGGGGAGCAAACAGGAUUAGAUACCCUGGUAGUCCACGCCCUAAACGAUGUCGACUGGUUGUUAGGUCUUAGGUGACUCAGUAACGAAGCUAACGCGUGAAGUCGACCGCCUGGGGGAGUACGGCCGCAAGGUUGAAACUCAAAUGAAUUGACGGGGUCAUAGCUG
This 579-nucleotide ribosomal RNA is filed under the name uncultured bacterium. RNAcentral describes it as "partial 16S ribosomal RNA". It matches the Rfam family "Bacterial small subunit ribosomal RNA", at positions 355 to 932 of the family's 1533-position model. The record is from RNAcentral.